AGUGAACGCUGGCGGUAGGCCUAACACAUGCAAGUCGAACGGAAGCACAGUAAGAGCUUGCUCUUACGGGUGGCGAGUGGCGGACGGGUGAGGCAUACAUAGGAAUCUACUUUUUCGUGGGGGAUAACGUAGGGAAACUUACGCUAAUACCGCAUGCGACCUACGGGUUAAAGCAGGGGUUCUUCGGACCUUGCGCGAUUGAAUUAGCCGAUGUCGGAUUAGCUAGUUGGGGGGGUAAAGGCCCACCAAGGCGACGAUCCGUAGCUGGUCUGAGAGGAUGAUCAGCCACACUGGAACUGAGACACGGUCCAGACUCCUACGGGAGGCAGCAGUGGGGAAUAUUGGACAAUGGGCGAAAGCCUGACCCAGCAAUGCCGCGUGAGUGAAGAAGGCCUUCGGGUUGUAAAGCUCUUUUGUUGGGAAAGAAAAACAGCAGGUGAAUCCCCGGCUGUUCUGACGGUACCCAAAGAAUAAGCACCGGCUAACUUCGUG
RNAcentral lists this ribosomal RNA (492 nucleotides) under uncultured bacterium. RNAcentral's name for it is "partial 16S ribosomal RNA". It matches the Rfam family "Bacterial small subunit ribosomal RNA", at positions 29 to 507 of the family's 1533-position model. The record is from RNAcentral.